UACGGAGGAUGCGAGCGUUAUCCGGAUUUAUUGGGUUUCAAGGGUGCGUAGGCGGGAUGCCAAGUCAGCGGUAAAAAUGCGGUGCUCAACGCCGUCGAGCCGUUGAAACUGGCGUUCUUGAGUGGGCGAGAAGUAUGCGGAAUGCGUGGUGUAGCGGUGAAAUGCAUAGAUAUCACGCAGAACUCCGAUUGCGAAGGCAGCAUACCGGCGCCCUACUGACGCUGAGGCACGAAAGCGUGGGUAUCGAACAGG
Molecule: ribosomal RNA, 252 nt
Filed under: uncultured bacterium
Lineage: Bacteria
Description: partial 16S ribosomal RNA
Rfam family: Bacterial small subunit ribosomal RNA
Source: RNAcentral